This 496-nucleotide ribosomal RNA is filed under the name uncultured bacterium. RNAcentral describes it as "partial 16S ribosomal RNA". It matches the Rfam family "Bacterial small subunit ribosomal RNA", at positions 29 to 507 of the family's 1533-position model. The record is from RNAcentral.
AUGAACGCUGGCGGCGUGCCUAAUACAUGCACGUCGCGCGCACGGACGAGAAGCUUGCUUCUCUGAUGUUAGCGGCGGACGGGUGAGUAACACGUGGAUAACCUACCUAUAAGACUGGGAUAACUUCGGGAAACCGGAGCUAAUACCGGAUAAUAUUUUGAACCGCAUGGUUCAAAAGUGAAAGACGGUCUUGCUGUCACUUAUAGAUGGAUCCGCGCUGCAUUAGCUAGUUGGUAAGGUAACGGCUUACCAAGGCAACGAUGCAUAGCCGACCUGAGAGGGUGAUCGGCCACACUGGAACUGAGACACGGUCCAGACUCCUACGGGAGGCAGCAGUAGGGAAUCUUCCGCAAUGGGCGAAAGCCUGACGGAGCAACGCCGCGUGAGUGAUGAAGGUCUUCGGAUCGUAAAACUCUGUUAUUAGGGAAGAACAUAUGUGUAAGUAACUGUGCACAUCUUGACGGUACCUAAUCAGAAAGCCACGGCUAACUACGUG